GUUCUUGCUUCAGCAACACAUAUACUAAAACUGGAAUAAUAUAAAGAUUAUCAUGGCCUCUGUGCAAGGAUGACACAUAAAUUUGUGAAGCAUUCCAUUCUAUA
RNAcentral lists this small nuclear RNA (104 nucleotides) under Castor canadensis (American beaver). The record is from RNAcentral. Lineage: Eukaryota; Metazoa; Chordata; Mammalia; Rodentia; Castoridae.